UACGUAGGGUGCGAGCGUUAAUCGGAAUUACUGGGCGUAAAGCGUGCGCAGGCGGCUUUGUAAGACAGAUGUGAAAUCCCCGGGCUUAACCUGGGAAUGGCAUUUUGAACUGGCAGUCUAGAGUGUGUCAGAGGAGGGUGGAAUUCCACGUGUAGCAGUGAAAUGCGUAGAUAUGUGGAGGAACACCAAUGGCGAAGGCAGCCCCCUGGGAUAACACUGACGCUCAUGUACGAAAGCGUGGGUAGCAAACAGG
This 253-nucleotide ribosomal RNA is filed under the name uncultured bacterium. RNAcentral describes it as "partial 16S ribosomal RNA". It matches the Rfam family "Bacterial small subunit ribosomal RNA", at positions 524 to 776 of the family's 1533-position model. The record is from RNAcentral.